Molecule: ribosomal RNA, 773 nt
Filed under: uncultured Neocallimastigales
Lineage: Eukaryota; Fungi; Neocallimastigomycota; Neocallimastigomycetes; Neocallimastigales
Description: partial large subunit ribosomal RNA
Rfam family: Eukaryotic large subunit ribosomal RNA
Source: RNAcentral
GUACACGCUGUGACUAGCAUAUCAAUAAGCGGAGGAAAAGAAACUAACAAGGAUUCCCCUAGUAACGGCGAGUGAAGCGGGAAGAGCUCAAAUUUGAAAUCUUAAAGGGUUUCCCUUUACGAAUUGUAGUUUAAAGAAGUGUUUUCUGUUGAGGUUUUGGUAAAAGUUCUUUGGAAUAGGACAUCAUAGAGGGUGAGAAUCCCGUAUUUGACCUUUACUUUCAACUUUGUGAUACACUUUCAAAGAGUCGGAUUGUUUGGGAAUGCAGUCCAAAAUGGGUGGUAAAUUUCAUCUAAAGCUAAAUAUUGGCGAGAGACCGAUAGCGAACAAGUACCGUGAGGGAGAGAUGAAAAGAACUUUGAAAAGAGAGUUAAACAGUACGUGAAAUUGUCAAAAGGGAAGCGUUUGACACCAGUGUUGUUUUUCUGAAAAUCAAUUAAAGAACUGUUUAUGCUAAGCUGUUUAGACUUUAUCAGCUAUCUGUUUAGUUUUGAGCUUUUCUUUAAUGCACUUUUCAGUUAACAAGUCAACAUCAAUUUCUUUUGCUGUAAAAAGCUUGAGGAAGGUGGCUUGAGAUUCGUCUUAAGUGUUUAUAGCCUCUUGCCUAUGCAGUCGGAGAGAUUGAGGUCUGCAGCGUAGAUCCUUCGGGGCUAAAUGCAUUUGUGCUAAGUUAUAGCAUUUUAUAGACAACUUGUUGACUAUGAUUUGUCUUGUAGCUUACUCGCUUAUGUUAUUUUACCUACGCUUAGGAUGUUGAGUCGUAGAGCACGCAG